Molecule: ribosomal RNA, 538 nt
Filed under: Bacillus pumilus
Lineage: Bacteria; Bacillati; Bacillota; Bacilli; Caryophanales; Bacillaceae
Description: bacterial SSU rRNA
Rfam family: Bacterial small subunit ribosomal RNA
Source: RNAcentral
GAUCGUAAAGCUCUGUUGUUAGGGAAGAACAAGUGCGAGAGUAACUGCUCGCACCAUGACGGUACCUAACCAGAAAGCCACGGCUAACUACGUGCCAGCAGCCGCGGUAAUACGUAGGUGGCAAGCGUUGUCCGGAAUUAUUGGGCGUAAAGGGCUCGCAGGCGGUUUCUUAAGUCUGAUGUGAAAGCCCCCGGCUCAACCGGGGAGGGUCAUUGGAAACUGGGAAACUUGAGUGCAGAAGAGGAGAGUGGAAUUCCACGUGUAGCGGUGAAAUGCGUAGAGAUGUGGAGGAACACCAGUGGCGAAGGCGACUCUCUGGUCUGUAACUGACGCUGAGGAGCGAAAGCGUGGGGAGCGAACAGGAUUAGAUACCCUGGUAGUCCACGCCGUAAACGAUGAGUGCUAAGUGUUAGGGGGUUUCCGCCCCUUAGUGCUGCAGCUAACGCAUUAAGCACUCCGCCUGGGGAGUACGGUCGCAAGACUGAAACUCAAAGGAAUUGACGGGGGCCCGCACAAGCGGUGGAGCAUGUGGUUUAAU